Long non-coding RNA from Lolium perenne, 2395 nucleotides. RefSeq lists it as uncharacterized. The record is from RefSeq and is a predicted model, not a curated record. NCBI's taxonomy places the organism in Eukaryota, Viridiplantae, Streptophyta, Magnoliopsida, Poales, Poaceae.
AUCACUGAACCCUAGCCCGCUCCUCCCGCAUCCAACCUCCCGCCGUCCUCCCCCAACGCAUCUUCACACCGCCAGCCCCCCGGCGGCCCGGCCUCGUCCUCGACCGCACGGACGACGGCGACGGCCAUCUCCUCUCGUGUACAUGGAGGCAGCCGUCCCAUCCCUUCUUCCCCUGCUGUUCACCAAGCCCCCAUCUCCCCACCUCCCGUCUCCGGAACCACCUCUCAUGUGUGUCACCCUCUUCGUCGCCGUCGUGCAGUGAUCCUUCAGUUCUUGCCGCGGGCUGGUGGUAGGGUUGCGCUCCAGUGCCCGGAUGUCGAGCACGUCGCCGUCAACGACCUGUUCAUCACCACCGACGACAUGACAUACAUGUUCAAGUAUGACUCUGUUCACAUACAAUGGAAGCACCAUACGGUUAAGGUCAAGGACUCUCAAGACCCUUCUAUUCAGCAAGAAAAAGGCUACUUUGUUUGGCUGCAGGUUUGAGCUAGUGAGCUCCCUAACGACUUCUCACUAGUAGUAAUAUGCAGCGACAUGCAAACUGGUUGUACAUUGAGUUGUGAGUACAUUAUCACCUGAACAGCUUCUUGCUUGGUCUGAUAUAGUGGUGUUCAUGACUAUUUUUCAGGACCACACGUUGAUAUAUAUUGUUGAUGGUGGAUGGUUUAGUUAACGAGAAUUGUAUUGUUGUUUGGUGUAGGAUAUGUUGUCCUUGGACAUUUAAUACCUUGGAGACUUACAGCAUGUUUUUCUCUAGUAGUAGUGAUAUGGAGUCAAGUCAGCAUGCUAUGAAAGUCAUCAUCUGCUUAUAUGUAAUAUUUCUGAAUUUGACUGCAUUUGUGAAUGUACAAUCAUUGAGUUAUUCCUAAUCCUAUGGGGAUGAAUGCAUGUCUUCCUUGGAACAAGUAUUAAUUGCUAUGCAUAACUGUUAGUGCUCAUGGUAACGUGUGUUAUUGCUGUGAUAGCUAGUUUAAAUAGACAGUUUUCUUGAAUGCCAAGUAUUAUACCUAUCAUUCUUUGCUGUUUUAUGCGAACAUUAUGGUUUAAUAGCUUAGUAUAAGGUUCUGGUGUACUUACUGUUCAUGGCGUUUUGCAUGGUAGUUGUGGUUAGCUUGCAUAUUGUUCUACUCUUUUCUACAUAAUCUGCGCAUUUGUCUUAAUUUGCAGUAUUUUGACCCAAUGGUCAAUGUUAGGCAACCUUCUGCGUUAGCCAUAAGCCAACUCAAGUAAUGUUCUUCCUUUCAUCUAUAUAUGAUACUCAUGUAUCCUUAUAGCAUUUUUUUUUCUUGCUUGUUGUUAUUUCUUUUCUGUAGAAUACAUAUGGGCUAUUAUCAAUGUUGCACAUUUCAUUCUUAAGCCAUGUAUUCAUAUGAACAUUGGAAAUGUAAACAAAAUUAGAAGUCAUAAAAUUCCUCUAUCUUGGUUUUGGUAGCUGUAGAUUUUAUGUAGGAGAUCGAGUGUCACAUCUGUGUAAUAUGUGAGUUAUCCUUACUCAUACUGGAAGCUCUUGCUGUAUCAGUGCAGCCUUGAAUCGCAUAUUGGAAAUUUUCUAUCUAUUUUUGAAGCUUGCAUGCAUUAUGAAGCUUUUUAUCUAUUUAUCUUGCUGUAAUCUGUAAUGUAGCAAUGCUCUGAAGUAAUAAAUCCAAUUUAACAUUGUAAAAGCAGUACUAGCUAUUCCUGAAUCGAUCCUUAUUUUGUGUUGCGCCAAUCCAUAUUGUUGCAAUCUGGGUUAGCUUGAUGAGUAAAAGCACUAGGUUAGCUUGAUUACUAUUUCCUUCACUGUUCUAUCUCAAGUGCAUGAUGCAGCCUGCACUACUUGAUAUAGUUUGUUUGGUCAGAGACCUGGACCUGCACUUGUUGGAGGAAUAUAUUUUGCUUGUGUAUUUUACAGUUUCUCUGAUCAUGAGGUUUAUAAAUCUAACCAACUUCUAUUAUCAUGUAUUUGAGUUAUCAUUUUCAAGAUCGACAGUGUUUUGAAUAAAUGGGCAUUGCUGGUUAUAACCUCCCAGUUUCAUUUCUUUCUUGAGGCAACUAGUGCUCAUUUGUAUUAGUGAAGACAUCUGUUGUGAUCAUUGACAUCAUGGUGUAAUUAUUUCAUUCUAAUAUUUAUGUAUCCCUUAUUUCCAUGGGUUUGACCAGCAGCAACAUCCUAUGCUUACUUACUCUUACCUCUCUUGUUUGUUCUCUCAGAUCUGGUGGAGUGUGCUGGAGGGCAAAUGAUUCACAUGUCAAGCUAACCGUGUCCUAAAUGUAGGGAUAUAGUCCUGGUGAUGCAGCAGCAGCCCAGUCUGUCCGGCCGGAAGGACAUGAUGAUGUUGCGUGCUUGUAGUCGUGUGUCAUCUCUUGUAUAUAAAUUGAUGUCACAUUUUUGCCUAAAUGGAUGUAAUAGAUUUAA